CGGGGGACGCGGGAGCUUCUCCGGCGGGGGACGUCAGGCAAGCGCUUCUCCCCGCUCCAAUGGCGCGCACGCACAGGCCGAUCGUACCGUACUCUGGCGCUCAGCUCCGCUCCGCCGCGCCGGGGCGGUGGUCUCCUCGACUCCUCCUCUUUUGCGUUCCGCCCCCUGGAAGCGCACGGUAAUCGCAGCUCCCUCCCUCCCCGCCGCGUGGGGACGUGCGGUGCGGGGGUGCGGUUCGAUGCGGGAGGGCGAGGGCGAGGGCGAGGGCGAGGGGGGGAUUA
RNAcentral lists this long non-coding RNA (281 nucleotides) under Oryza brachyantha (malo sina). RNAcentral's name for it is "long non-coding RNA (OBRA_LNC000550)". The record is from RNAcentral. Lineage: Eukaryota; Viridiplantae; Streptophyta; Magnoliopsida; Poales; Poaceae.